AGUCGUAACAAGGUUUCCGUAGGUGAACCUGCGGAAGGAUCAUUAAAGUAAAACGCUUAAUUGCUAAAUACUGUGUUUUUAUUAUAAGAAACUUUUUAUAACUUCAAAUUAAUUUAUUUUAAAAAUUUAGUCAAAAGAUAUAUUUUAAUAUCAAAACUUUCAACAACGGAUCUCUUGGUUCUCGCAUCGAUGAAGAACGCAGCGAAAUGCGAUAAGUAAUAUGAAUUGCAGAUUUUCGUGAAUCAUCGAAUCUUUGAACGCACAUUGCGCCCUAUGGUAUUCCAUAGGGCAUGCCUGUUUGAGCGUCAUUUCUCCCUCAAACUUUUAGUUUGGUGAUGAGUUUUACGCUUUUUAUUUUUAGCAAUAAAAAUAUAUAAAAGGGUUAACUUGAAAUUUAUAACGAUUUUAAUGAAUUAGGUUUUACCAAGUCAUUAUAAUUAUUAUUAUAAAAAGUUUGACCUCAAAUCAGGUAGGAUUACCCGCU
RNAcentral lists this unclassified non-coding RNA (484 nucleotides) under Wickerhamia fluorescens. RNAcentral's name for it is "sequence contains 18S rRNA gene, ITS1, 5.8S rRNA gene, ITS2, 28S rRNA gene". The stretch from base 155 to 308 matches the Rfam family "5.8S ribosomal RNA". Lineage: Eukaryota; Fungi; Ascomycota; Pichiomycetes; Serinales; Debaryomycetaceae. The record is from RNAcentral.